AAACCAACUGGGAUUACCUUAGUAACGGCGAGUGAAGCGGUAAAAGCUCAAAUUUGAAAUCUGGUACUUUCAGUGCCCGAGUUGUAAUUUGUAGAAUUUGUCUUUGAUUAGGUCCUUGUCUAUGUUCCUUGGAACAGGACGUCAUAGAGGGUGAGAAUCCCGUUUGGCGAGGAUACCUUUUCUCUGUAAGACUUUUUCGAAGAGUCGAGUUGUUUGGGAAUGCAGCUCAAAGUGGGUGGUAAAUUCCAUCUAAAGCUAAAUAUUGGCGAGAGACCGAUAGCGAACAAGUAUAGUGAUGGAAAGAUGAAAAGAACUUUGAAAAGAGAGUGAAAAAGUACGUGAAAUUGUUGAAAGGGAAGGGCAUUUGAUCAGACAUGGUGUUUUUGCAUGCACUCGCCUCUCGUGGGCUUGGGCCUCUCAAAAAUUUCACUGGGCCAACAUCAAUUCUGGCAGCAGGAUAAAUCAUUAAGAAUGUAGCUACUUCGGUAUGUUAUAGCUUUUGGAAUACUGUUAGCCGGGUA
This 521-nucleotide ribosomal RNA is filed under the name uncultured Hanseniaspora. RNAcentral's name for it is "eukaryotic LSU rRNA". It matches the Rfam family "Eukaryotic large subunit ribosomal RNA", at positions 62 to 582 of the family's 3401-position model. Lineage: Eukaryota; Fungi; Ascomycota; Saccharomycetes; Saccharomycodales; Saccharomycodaceae. The record is from RNAcentral.